UACGUAGGGUGCGAGCGUUAUUCGGAAUUACUGGGCGUAAAGCGUGCGCAGGCGGUUUGCUAAGACAGGUGUGAAAUCCCCGGGCUUAACCUGGGAACUGCGCUUGUAACUGGCAAGCUGGAGUGUGGCAGAGGGGGGUGGAAUUCCACGUGUAGCAGUGAAAUGCGUAGAGAUGUGGAGGAACACCGAUGGCGAAGGCAGCCCCCUGGGCUAACACUGACGCUCAUGCACGAAAGCGUGGGGAGCAAACAGG
Molecule: ribosomal RNA, 253 nt
Filed under: uncultured bacterium
Lineage: Bacteria
Description: partial 16S ribosomal RNA
Rfam family: Bacterial small subunit ribosomal RNA
Source: RNAcentral